UGAUUUCUAAUCCUGAUAAAACAUUCAUUCGAUAAGUUGAAUUACGUUCGUGAAUACAUACAAAUCUAUAGGUUGUUAUUCCUUCAUUCAUCGGCGGAAUAGUGAAGAUCUGUCGUAAAAAUGAAAUUUUGCCUUUUACAAAUUUAUUUAAUUUGCUUGAUAUGCGUGUUAAUUCAUUACAAGCCUACAUAUGAAAGACCCGUCGACGAAGACAUCAGUGCUCUAAGACAAAAAAUGCGCGAAUUAAGAAACAAAGUGAACAAAUUACAAGUCGAAAACAAAGUACUUCGUGGCGAAAAUCCAAAAAAGGGUGUAAAGGCACCUGGAGCUUUUAAUCCUUUUAAAGUUCUCAGUCUAGCCGAACGUCUGGUAUGGGCGAAUGCUUUAACAUUCUUUUAGCGAUACAUCUGUUGGAAAAUCAAGUUGACGAAUUAUUCGUAGAAGAUCAGACCAGGAAGUUUUAAUUUGAUCAACGUUUAAAUUGCUAACGUAGGCUCGUGGUAUUUUCAAAAGGACCAUCCCCGAGGUUAUUAAUGAAAAAUAGGACGAAUAAAAUGCAAAAAAAAUGACGAAUAAAUUCAUCGAUUGUAAUUUUUACACUUUGCGUAGAUACAUUUUUCAAUUUUUAAUAAUUUUUUCAAAAUAAAAAUUGAAUAAAACGAUUUUUUUUUUGAAAACCAUCAACUCACAGCCUUGAGAAUAAAAUCGUGCUACUUACUUGUAUAUUUCCACUCAACGUUUCCACCUCCUAUUAGAUCGCUGAUUUCUAAAAUGUGAUAAAAGAUUCUUUCGAUAAGUUAAAUUAAAUCUACGAAUACCAAUUUAUCUAGGUCGUUUCCUUCAGUCAUUAGUGGAAUUUAAAGUGAUCGAGGUUAGAAAUGAAGUUAAGCUUUUUAAAAAUUCAUUUGAUUUGUUUGAUUUCCGUUUUAAUUUGGUACAAACCUACGUACGGAUUUGCCUAUUAUGGCGACAAUAAUUACGUAAAAAGCGAAGUUGAAGAAUUACAAGAACAGGUGAACGAAUUACGCGAAGAUAAUAGACACCUGCGUUACGGAAAUCCCCAUGUGUUCGGAAAUGAACUACCAAGCGGUGCACGACGAAUCAAACCUUUCGAUAUGUUCAUAAACAUGUUGAAAGGAGAAAUGAAUUAAAAAUUCUUUUAAUCCCGUAUACUGUUGGAAAAUCAUGCCGAUGAAUAUCGAAGAGGAAAUUCAAAUUAGAUCAACGUUAAAAUGUGCAAAUGUAGGAGCUAGGAACAUAUCCCAACCAAUUUUUAGCUUUCAAAUGUGUUGUUCAAGAUUUGCAAAAUCAGCAAUCUCAGCGCAGGUCAACUUGCAGGUGAUCACGAAGAAAACGAUACCUACGAUCAAAAAUGGAAAGUAGAAUUUUUUGGCUGGGAUUUUUGUUUUAUAAGCAUUGCAAUAAAUCUUUUAUGAAAGUUCAA
Molecule: long non-coding RNA, 1444 nt
Organism: Planococcus citri (citrus mealybug)
Lineage: Eukaryota; Metazoa; Arthropoda; Insecta; Hemiptera; Pseudococcidae
Exons: 3
Source: RefSeq, a predicted model, not a curated record